GUGCUCGCUUCAGCAGCACAUAUACUAAAAUUGGAACGAUACAGAGAAGAUUAGCAUGGCCCCUGCACAAGGAUGAUGUGCAAAUUCGUGAAGCAUUCCAUAUUUUU
This 107-nucleotide small nuclear RNA is filed under the name Procavia capensis (Cape rock hyrax). Lineage: Eukaryota; Metazoa; Chordata; Mammalia; Hyracoidea; Procaviidae. The record is from RNAcentral.